GGGGAGGAGGAGGAGGAGGGGGACGACUUGGGGAGAGGAGGAGGAGUGGGAAAGGGGGAGGAGAAGGAGAGAGAUGUCUACUCUGUCGUGUCACCAUGGGGAUGGCGAUGUAGUACACAUAGACUGGUGAGGUAGUACACAUGGAAUCAGCAUGACUAAUGGAAUCAGGAUGUUGACUUUGUAACAAAGUGAAAGAGACGCUAUAGCAACGCUGUAACGACGCUAUAGCAACGCUGUAACGACGCUAUAGCAGCGCUGUAACAACGCUAUAGCAACGCUGUAACGACGCUAUAGCAACGCUGUAAUGACGCUAUAGCAACGCUGUAACGACGCUAUAGCAACGCUGUAAUAAUGCUGAAGCAGAGCUAUAGCAAUGUCCACGCUACAUACUGAGAACACAAAUACAUCUGCUGAGAAAACACCUUCAUGUGCUGACUGACUGUCUGUCUGUUUGACUGUCUGACUGACUGUCUGUCUGUUUGACUGUCUGACUGACUGUCUGUCUGUCUGGAUGUCUGUCUGUUUGACUGUCUGUCUGGAUGUCUGUCUGGAUGUCUGUCUGACUGCUGGGAUGUCAGAGAGAGACAGGUUGGAUCAGGCAGGGUGCUGGGAUGUCAGAGAGACAGGUUGGACCAGGCAGGGGGCUGGGAAGUCAGAGAGAGACAGGUUGAACCAGGCAGGGUGCUGGGAUGUCAGAGAGACAGGUUGAACCAGGCAGGGUGCUGGGAAGUCAGAGAGACAGGUUGAACCAGGCAGGGUGCUGGGAAGUCAGAGAGAGACAGGUUGAACCAGGCAGGGUGCUGGGAUGUCAGAGAGACAGGUUGGACCAGCCGUGACAUGAUCGUAGCCUAGCCUCAUCUCCUAUGAGAUCUCCAGUCAUAAAGGAAGCAGCCUUCCCAGAGCACCACUACCUACCUACAGCCCUACCAGAGCAGUACUACCUA
This 944-nucleotide long non-coding RNA is filed under the name Salmo salar (Atlantic salmon). Its description in RNAcentral is "lncRNA (ENSSSAG00000118895.1)". The record is from RNAcentral. Lineage: Eukaryota; Metazoa; Chordata; Actinopteri; Salmoniformes; Salmonidae.